RNAcentral lists this ribosomal RNA (254 nucleotides) under uncultured bacterium. RNAcentral describes it as "partial 16S ribosomal RNA". It matches the Rfam family "Bacterial small subunit ribosomal RNA", at positions 524 to 776 of the family's 1533-position model. The record is from RNAcentral.
UACGUAGGGUGCAAGCGUUGUCCGGAAUUAUUGGGCGUAAAGAGCUCGUAGGCGGUCUGUCGCGUCGGCUGUGAAAACCCGGAGCUCAACUCCGGGCCUGCAGUCGAUACGGGCAAACUAGAGUACUGCAGGGGAGACUGGAAUUCCUGGUGUAGCGGUGAAAUGCGCAGAUAUCAGGAGGAACACCGAAGGCGAAAGGCAGUCUCCUGGCAAGUGUCUGACGCUCAGGUGCGAAAGCUAGGGGAGCGAACAGG